UCUUGUUGAGGGGCAUGUCGUGUGGCCCGAGACCGGUUCAUGGCCGUCGAUCGGUCGGCUAAUGUCGCCGGCGGCGCGCGUCAGUGGAUGGUCUCGGACCAGGCUUCAUUCCCCCCAACGGC
Molecule: microRNA precursor, 122 nt
Filed under: Brachypodium distachyon (stiff brome)
Lineage: Eukaryota; Viridiplantae; Streptophyta; Magnoliopsida; Poales; Poaceae
Description: miR166i stem-loop (bdi-MIR166i)
Gene: bdi-MIR166i
Source: miRBase by way of RNAcentral